RNAcentral lists this ribosomal RNA (731 nucleotides) under Ruegeria sp. SOMOC3. RNAcentral describes it as "bacterial SSU rRNA". It matches the Rfam family "Bacterial small subunit ribosomal RNA", at positions 56 to 837 of the family's 1533-position model. The record is from RNAcentral. Lineage: Bacteria; Pseudomonadati; Pseudomonadota; Alphaproteobacteria; Rhodobacterales; Roseobacteraceae.
UGCAAGUCGAGCGCACCUUCGGGUGAGCGGCGGACGGGUUAGUAACGCGUGGGAACAUACCCUUUGGUACGGAAUAGCCUCUGGAAACGGAGAGUAAUACCGUAUGAGCCCUUCGGGGGAAAGAUUUAUCGCCAAAGGAUUGGCCCGCGUUAGAUUAGGUAGUUGGUGGGGUAAUGGCCUACCAAGCCUACGAUCUAUAGCUGGUUUUAGAGGAUGAUCAGCAACACUGGGACUGAGACACGGCCCAGACUCCUACGGGAGGCAGCAGUGGGGAAUCUUGGACAAUGGGGGCAACCCUGAUCCAGCCAUGCCGCGUGAGUGAUGAAGGCCUUAGGGUCGUAAAGCUCUUUCGCCUGUGAAGAUAAUGACGGUAGCAGGUAAAGAAACCCCGGCUAACUCCGUGCCAGCAGCCCGCGGUAAUACGGAGGGGGUUAGCGUUGUUCGGAAUUACUGGGCGUAAAGCGCACGUAGGCGGACUGGAAAGUUGGGGGUGAAAUCCCAGGGCUCAACCCUGGAACUGCCUCCAAAACUAUCAGUCUAGAGUUCGAGAGAGGUGAGUGGAAUUCCGAGUGUAGAGGUGAAAUUCGUAGAUAUUCGGAGGAACACCAGUGGCGAAGCGGCUCACUGCUCGAUACUGACGCUGAAGUGCGAAAGUGUGGGGAGCAAACAGGAUUAGAUACCCUGGUAGUCACACCGUAAACGAUGAAUGCCAGUCGUCGGGUAGCAUGCUU